GAGUGCGAUCAUAGCUGCACUAAUGCAUCGGAUCCCAUCAGAACUCCGAAGUUAAACGUGCUUGGGCGAGAGUAGUACUAAGAUGGGUGACCUCUUGGGAAGUCCUAAUGUUGCAGCCC
Molecule: ribosomal RNA, 119 nt
Filed under: Ricinus communis (castor bean)
Lineage: Eukaryota; Viridiplantae; Streptophyta; Magnoliopsida; Malpighiales; Euphorbiaceae
Source: RNAcentral